AAGACCUGGAUAUAUUGUCUUUCCUCAUCUUCUGAUCUUGCCCUACUUCCUUGAGGCGUUCGCUGCUCUGCCAGCUUUGAUGGUAUGUAGACAGCGAGUUCUUUGGUGUCCUGGUGGCCUUUUAUCCCUAACUCUUCCCAACAUAAUUGCUUUCUCCAGUGAAUUCCACCGCAUGACAUGGCCAAAAUAAGUGAGACACAGUUUCAUGAUUUUGCUUUCCAGUGACAGGUCUGAUGUUAUGCCCUUCUGUGCUUGCUUGUUAGUCAUCUUUACUGUCCAGGGAAUAUGCAGGCACCUUCUCCAGCACCACAACUCA
Notechis scutatus (mainland tiger snake) is the source of this 316-nucleotide non-coding RNA. The record is from RefSeq and is a predicted model, not a curated record. Lineage: Eukaryota; Metazoa; Chordata; Lepidosauria; Squamata; Elapidae.